This 97-nucleotide signal recognition particle RNA is filed under the name Thiohalospira halophila DSM 15071. RNAcentral's name for it is "Bacterial small signal recognition particle RNA". It matches the Rfam family "Bacterial small signal recognition particle RNA". Rfam says of the family: The signal recognition particle (SRP) is a universally conserved ribonucleoprotein involved in the co-translational targeting of proteins to membranes. Archaeal SRP consists of a 7S RNA and homologues of the eukaryotic SRP19 and SRP54 proteins. The record is from Rfam by way of RNAcentral. Lineage: Bacteria; Pseudomonadati; Pseudomonadota; Gammaproteobacteria; Thiohalospirales; Thiohalospiraceae.
CGUCGGCCUCCCCGCAACGAGUGGCUGUGAACCCCGUCAGGCCCGGAAGGGAGCAGCGGCAGCAGUCUCCUCGUGUGCCGGGGUCGGGUUGGCGUGG